This is a long non-coding RNA of Apis mellifera (honey bee), 957 nucleotides long. RefSeq lists it as uncharacterized. The transcript has 2 exons. The record is from RefSeq and is a predicted model, not a curated record. NCBI's taxonomy places the organism in Eukaryota, Metazoa, Arthropoda, Insecta, Hymenoptera, Apidae.
UCGAUAUAUAAGAUGUUAAAAAAAAAAAAUCGAAUGAAAAAAAGAUUAUUCCAGACUUAAAAGUGAAUGGAAACAUGUCAAAUCUAUUCGUACGCUAAUCGAAAUGCCGUGAAAAUGGCCAGUUUGUAAUUGGGUUCGGUAUCACGCGGUAUCCGGCUUAACCGUUUCAUCUAUUGACGAUAAAUCUGAUAGGAAUAAAAAAGAAAUUGUAACUCCGACUGGAUUCGGUUUCGAUUUGUUUGAGGAUUCUCUUCGAUGAGAUCAUUGAGUUCAUUCGCUAAUAUAACUAAGUAGUUAUAUCAUUGACCAUGUACGUCUGCUCCAAUUUGGAACGCAGGAAGCGCGAAUGAUUUAGUGGAGCCUAUAUUAGUAGACACUUGACAGAGUCUAGUGGAAAAGCUUAAUGGCUCUCGUGAUCGGAAGGGAAGCGGUGAGAGGAGGCGAAAAAAAGGAAACCGCUUUACCGAUGUUGCAUCACGCCACGAUUUUUAUCGAGUGCCUCGUUUUACGAGUGCUAUUUCGAGUGCUUGUUCGGUGACGACGUGGAGAAAAGAAUAAAAGUGCGCGAAAGAUAUGGAGAAGGGAAAGAGAAGCGACAAGCAAAUAAAUUUCUUGGAUAUUAGAUUCGAACCAAAUAUAAAAACAGUCGUUCAUCGCGAAUAUUAAAAGAUAUUACUACCAUUCUCGAUAUCAUUGUAGAUGUGUAACAUUUGUUCAAUUCGUAUGACCAAUAACGAUCGUAUUCACUGUGAAUUGUUAUCUCUGUAGUACGUUCAGCUUAUCUUGAAAUCUAUCGUGUCGUAAUUUUAUUAUUGAAAUGCUUUUUUUUUUCUCCUAAUUUUUUUUCCUUUCUAUUCUUUUAAGCAUGAAAUAUGGGAAAGAAAACAGAUUACUCGACCACUAUAAAAGUAAGGUUAUAAUUCAAGAAAAGUUGAGAAAUACAGUACUAAGUAAUUA